AGCCACGGCUAACUACGUGCCAGCAGCCGCGGUAAUACGUAGGUGGCAAGCGUUAUCCGGAAUUAUUGGGCGUAAAGCGCGCGUAGGCGGUUUUUUAAGUCUGAUGUGAAAGCCCACGGCUCAACCGUGGAGGGUCAUUGGAAACUGGAAAACUUGAGUGCAGAAGAGGAAAGUGGAAUUCCAUGUGUAGCGGUGAAAUGCGCAGAGAUAUGGAGGAACACCAGUGGCGAAGGCGGCUUUCUGGUCUGCAACUGACGCUGAUGUGCGAAAGCGUGGGGAUCAAACAGGAUUAGAUACCCUGGUAGUCCACGCCGUAAACGAUGAGUGCUAAGUGUU
This 336-nucleotide ribosomal RNA is filed under the name Staphylococcus pseudintermedius. RNAcentral's name for it is "bacterial SSU rRNA". It matches the Rfam family "Bacterial small subunit ribosomal RNA", at positions 488 to 824 of the family's 1533-position model. Lineage: Bacteria; Bacillati; Bacillota; Bacilli; Caryophanales; Staphylococcaceae. The record is from RNAcentral.